RNAcentral lists this ribosomal RNA (458 nucleotides) under uncultured bacterium. Its description in RNAcentral is "partial 16S ribosomal RNA". It matches the Rfam family "Bacterial small subunit ribosomal RNA", at positions 338 to 795 of the family's 1533-position model. The record is from RNAcentral.
CCUACGGGAGGCAGCAGUGAGGAAUAUUGGUCAAUGGGCGAGAGCCUGAACCAGCCAAGUCGCGUGAGUGAGUACUGCCCUAUGGGUUGUAAACCUCUUUUGUCGGGGAGCAAAAGCCGGACGUGUCCGGCUGUGAGAGUACCCGAUGAAAAAGCAUCGGCUAACUCCGUGCCAGCAGCCGCGGUAAUACGUGGUAUGCUAGCGUUAUCCGGAUUUAUUGGGUUUAAGGGGUGCGCAGGGGGAUUUUUAAGUCUGCGCUCAAAUCGUGGGGUUAAACCCCAGCCAGCCGUUGAAACUGGGGGUCUGGAGUGUGCGAGAGGUAUGCGGAAUGCGUGGUGUAGCGGUGAAAUGCAUAGAUAUCACGAAGAACCCCGGUUGCGAAGGCAGCAUACCGGUGCACAACUGACGCUCAGGCACGAAAGCGUGGGGAUCAAACAGGAUUAGAUACCCUAGUAGUC